GCAUCUGAAUCUUUCCCAUUCCUUGCUGCUAGGAAAGCAGAGGAAAUCCAGGCGGGCUCCCUUCCAUCACAGUGGGACUUGUCUCUACACCUUUGCAACAUCU
Small nucleolar RNA from Nothoprocta perdicaria, 103 nucleotides. The record is from Ensembl. NCBI's taxonomy places the organism in Eukaryota, Metazoa, Chordata, Aves, Tinamiformes, Tinamidae.